This 3818-nucleotide unclassified non-coding RNA is filed under the name Hevea brasiliensis (rubber tree). The record is from RNAcentral. Lineage: Eukaryota; Viridiplantae; Streptophyta; Magnoliopsida; Malpighiales; Euphorbiaceae.
GUUCUACCUUCGUUAGGCGUCUUCUUUGAAAAAAAAAACCAAACCCUAGUUCGUCUCUCUGAUCGUUAUACUUUUUGUUUUUCUUUCCGCUACUUUCUCUCAUUUUCCUUCCCUUUCCGGGAAAAUCCUUUCUUUCUCUCAAUCACCCGGGAGUCAUUCAUUUUUCUUAGAUCUGCAUGGUUUGGGGUUAUUUCGGUGCAUAGAAUCUGUCUGAUUUACAUUUUCUAGCGUUGGAUUUGGAGUUUUCGUUUUGGGUUCAAUUCUUCUGAGGGGUCGGAGUGGGGAUUAGAGAGAAGAGUAGGGUAAAGAGAGGGGGUUGGUCCGGUCUCAAUAGAUCUUAUACUGCUUCUUUUGAGGGGGUAGCCGGGGCCUCGGCCUCGGCGGGUUUUAAAGCCCCCACCUUCACAAACUGAAGAAAAUCAUAAUCCUAACCAUAACUUUUUAACAAACAGAUCGUCGCGGAAGACGAUGCCGGCCCUGGCUUGUUGCGUAGAUGCUGCCCUUGCGCCUCCCGGCUACGCUUUUCAUGCAGGGGAUAGCUCCCUUCCGUCGCCGGUCCAAUUUUCCGGCGUACCUCCGGCACCAACCACCACCCCCACUGCCUCCAUCGAAAACUCUCCUUCCCAUUGGUCACCUUCCCUCUCUUCUGCACUCUACAAGAUAGACGCUUGGGGUGCUCCUUACUUUUCUGUCAACCACUCCGGCAACAUUGCCGUACGUCCUUAUGGGACUGACACCCUGGCUCACCAGGAAAUCGAUCUCUUAAAGAUCGUGAGGAAAGUUUCGGAUCCGAAAUCCGUGGGCGGGCUUGGCUUGCAGCUGCCCCUCAUUGUUCGCUUGCCUGAUGUGCUGAAGAACCGGCUUGAGUCUCUGCAAUCAGCUUUCAAUUUUGCAAUCCAGUCUCAAGGCUAUGAGGCUCAUUAUCAAGGUGUUUAUCCGGUGAAAUGUAACCAGGACCGUUUUGUUGUUGAGGAUAUCGUGAGAUUCGGAUCUCCAUUCCGGUUUGGAUUGGAGGCCGGGUCGAAACCGGAACUCCUUUUGGCUAUGAGCUGCUUGUGCAAGGGAAAUCCGGAAGCUCUUCUUGUUUGUAAUGGAUUCAAGGAUGGAGAGUACAUUUCUCUGGCGUUGCUAGCUAGAAAACUCGCUUUGAACACUGUGAUUGUGCUUGAACAAGAAGAAGAACUUGAUUUGGUCCUGGCAUUGAGCAGGAAAAUGUCAGUUAGGCCCGUGAUUGGAGUGCGAGCCAAGCUGAGAACCAAACAUUCGGGCCAUUUCGGGUCCACGUCAGGCGAGAAAGGGAAAUUUGGGUUAACCACGACCCAGAUUUUACGGGUUGUGAAGAGGCUUGAGGAAGCAGCAAUGCUUGAUUGUCUCCAGCUGCUGCAUAUCCAUAUUGGAUCUCAGAUUCCCUCUACUGCCUUACUUGCCGAUGGUGUAGGCGAGGCUGCGCAGAUCUACUGCGAAUUAGUCCGUCUCGGUGCCCACAUGCAAGUACUCGACAUUGGAGGUGGGUUGGGUAUCGACUACGAUGGAUCCAAAUCUGGUAAUUCAGAUCUCUCUGUGGCUUACGGGCUCGAAGAGUACUCUCUAGCUGUUGUCCAAGCUGUUAAGUUUGUUUGUGACCGCAAGAACAUUAAGCAUCCGGUGCUUUGCAGCGAGAGCGGCCGGGCUAUCGUUUCUCAUCACUCUAUCUUGAUAUUUGAGGCCGUCUCUGCAAGCGUGUCUAGUGCUGCAUCAAUGACUUAUGCUGGGUGUCAGUAUUUUAUUGAGGGGCUUACUGAGGAUGCUCGUUCGGAUUACAGAAAUUUAUCAGCUGCAGUGGUGAGAGGCGAGCAUGACACCUGCUUGCUUUAUGCUGAACAAUUGAAACAAAGAUGUGUUGAUCAUUUCAAAGAAGGUAGUAUUGGUAUGGAACAAUUAGCUGCUGUUGAUGGGUUUUGUGAAUUGGUGGGUAAAGUAAUUGGAUUAUCUGAGCCAGUUCGCACUUAUCAUGUGAAUCUGUCAGUUUUCACCUCAAUUCCUGAUUUCUGGGGGAUUGGGCAGUUGUUUCCUAUCGUCCCAAUUCAUCGACUAGAGGAGAGGCCAGCAGUGAGAGGGAUUUUGUCUGAUUUAACAUGUGACAGUGAUGGGAAGAUUGACAAAUUCAUUGGCGGUGAGUCAAGCUUGCCGCUGCAUGAAUUUGAAGGCGGUGGGCGGUACUACUUGGGGAUGUUUUUGGGCGGGGCUUACGAGGAGGCGCUCGGUGGAGUUCACAACCUGUUCGGUGGCCCAAGCGUUGUGCGGGUUUCGCAGAGUGAUGGACCGCACAGCUUUUCGGUGACUCGCGCCGUGCCGGGCCCGUCUUGUGGUGAUGUCCUCCGGGUUAUGCAGCACGAGCCUGAGCUUAUGUUCGAGACUCUCAAGCACCGUGCUGAAGAAUUCUGCCACCAUGAUGAAGACAGUGAUGAUGGCGGCGAUAGUGAUCAUGGUAUUGGCAAUGCUGCUUUAGCUAGCAGUCUAGCUCGAUUCUUCCACAACAUGCCUUAUCUGGUGGCUUCAUGUUCAUUGACUGCUUUGAAUAAUGGUGGUUUCUACUAUUGCAAUGAGGAUGCUGCUGAUUCGGCUGGUGGUGAUGAGGACCAGUGGUCCUAUUGCUGUGCUUGAGAUUAAUUAAUUAGCCAUAUCCCCACCAACUUUAUUUACCAUCCAUGGUUGGCUUUGUGCUAGAGGUCGUCUUGUUUAACUUGUGUUUAUUUUUCCUUUGUUAAUUCCCAUUGUGAUAUCUGUCUUGUUCUUAAGAGCAAAAGAUUGAAGAUGCGGGACAUUCUUUUGCAUUUUGUGGUGAAAGACGGGAUUGGGAGACCGAAUAAUCCAGCCCUUAGUAAAUUCGGAAAUCUUGUUCCCUCUUUUUUAUUGUGCCUCUAGUAGAUCUUUUUUUCAAGAGUUUUUAAUUCAAUGAUGCCUUUGUUCUAUGCGUAUAUUCUUUUCGGUUUUUUAGAGUCGUAUAUGCAUGUUACAAAGUUGAAUCAGUGCACAGUCCAAGUGAACAACAUAUUCAUGUUCUAUUGGUGGCUUGUUUGAUUUGGUUGCUUUCUUUUUCCUGACUUCUGAUCUUGUGUAGGCCCUUUCUCUUUGGUGGUUGGAGAAAAAAAUUUUUGUAAUAUGGGGUUGUCUCUUUUUGUGGAAAAGGCUAGGUAGCAAGAUUCUUAAAUCAUGUUUUGUGGGGUCUCUCUCUGUCUUAUAUUUUGUCUCGGAGAGGUUAACGAGAGUUUGGCACUUGAAUUGGACUUUACCUUCUUCAACUCGAAGGGUUGCAAUUUGACGUAUCAAUUGCUUGAAUCAGUCAAUAAUUACCCGUUUGAAUUGGUUCAUACUUGUUUAGCAUGACCCAUUAAAGACGAGAUAAUGUAGUUUUUCAGCACUAGAGGUUUCUUUGCGUAGUACAUGUUUUUCUAGGGGCUUCCCGGUUUUGUUGACCACAAUUUUGUGGCUUCCAGCUAAGCCUCUAGGCAUCUUGUGGUCAAAAAUUGGAUGCAGUGCGGGGCGGUGGGUGCUAGUUGCGUGGGAUAGAUGUGAGGACCGUAUGGGAGACCCAAAUAGUGCCACUCAUUGGAAUUUUGAUGGAAUUGCAAUGGAUUUGUAUUUGUAAAAGAAGGCAAAUGAACAUUAAGGUCACUAUCUGUCUAAUUUUGCGAUCCCUUCUGCAAAACAAGGACUUGAAAUUUUCAGCGUAUGAAUGAAAUUUAGUGAGAUGUGGAUAUCUUUUGCUAUAAUUCACUUUAGAGGUGCAAGUGGGUUCAAUGCAUCGAGUUUUCUGAAAAAAAAAAAGCUUAUAUAAG